GAUGAAGAACGCAGCAAAAUGCGAUAAGUAAUGUGAAUUGCAGAAUUCAGUGAAUCAUCGAAUCUUUGAACGCACAUUGCGCCCGCCAGUAUUCUGGCGGGCAUGCCUGUUCGAGCGUCAUUUCAACCCUCAAGCACAGCUUGGUGUUGGGACUCGCGUUAAUUCGCGUUCCCCAAAUUGAUUGGCGGUCACGUCGAGCUUCCAUAGCGUAGUAGUAAAACCCUCGUUACUGGUAAUCGUCGCGGCCACGCCGUUAAACCUCAACUUCUGAAUGUUGACCUCGGAUCAGGUAGGAAUACCCGCUGAACUUAAGCAUAUCAAUAAGCGGAGGA
This 332-nucleotide unclassified non-coding RNA is filed under the name soil metagenome. RNAcentral's name for it is "partial contains 5.8S ribosomal RNA, internal transcribed spacer 2, and large subunit ribosomal RNA". The stretch from base 1 to 120 matches the Rfam family "5.8S ribosomal RNA", at positions 35 to 154 of the family's 154-position model. The record is from RNAcentral.